RNAcentral lists this transfer RNA (66 nucleotides) under Camelus bactrianus (Bactrian camel). It matches the Rfam family "tRNA". From Rfam's summary of the family: Transfer RNA (tRNA) molecules are approximately 80 nucleotides in length. Their secondary structure includes four short double-helical elements and three loops (D, anti-codon, and T loops). RNAcentral also lists the same sequence under 2 other names. The record is from Rfam by way of RNAcentral. Lineage: Eukaryota; Metazoa; Chordata; Mammalia; Artiodactyla; Camelidae.
AGGGGUAUAGCUCAGAGGGCGGGCUUGGUGUGCCCAAGGUCCUUGGUUCAAUCCCUAGUGUCUCUG